Molecule: non-coding RNA, 31 nt
Filed under: Mus musculus (house mouse)
Lineage: Eukaryota; Metazoa; Chordata; Mammalia; Rodentia; Muridae
Source: RNAcentral
UGUACGAUAUGAUUGAACGUGCUUUUGGGUC